RNAcentral lists this ribosomal RNA (373 nucleotides) under uncultured organism. Its description in RNAcentral is "partial 16S ribosomal RNA". It matches the Rfam family "Bacterial small subunit ribosomal RNA", at positions 527 to 896 of the family's 1533-position model. The record is from RNAcentral.
GUAGGUGGCAAGCGUUGUCCGGAAUUAUUGGGCGUAAAGCGCGCGCAGGUGGUUCUUUAAGUCUGAUGUGAAAGCCCCCGGCUCAACCGGGGAGGGUCAUUGGAAACUGGGGAACUUGAGUGCAGGAGAGGAAAGUGGAAUUCCACGUGUAGCGGUGAAAUGCGUAGAUAUGUGGAGGAACACCAGUGGCGAAGGCGACUUUCUGGCCUGUAACUGACACUGAGGCGCGAGAGCGUGGGGAGCAAACAGGGAUUAGAUACCCUGGUAGUCCACGCCGUAAACGAUGAGUGCUAAGUGUUGGGGGGGUUUCCCGCCCCUCAGUGCUGCAGCUAACGCAUUAAGCACUCCGCCUGGGGAUACGGUCGCAAGACUG